UACGGAGGGUGCGAGCGUUGUCCGGAAUCACUGGGCGUAAAGGGCGCGUAGGCGGUCGGGGAAGUCCGUGGUGAAAGCUCGUGGCUCAACUGCGAGUCGGCCAUGGAUACUCCUGGACUUGAGCACUGUAGAGGCAGGUGGAAUUCCGGGUGUAGCGGUGGAAUGCGUAGAGAUCCGGAAGAACACCGGUGGCGAAAGCGGCUUCCUGGUCCAGCACCGACGUUCAGGCACGAAAGCGUGG
This 241-nucleotide ribosomal RNA is filed under the name uncultured bacterium. RNAcentral's name for it is "partial 16S ribosomal RNA". It matches the Rfam family "Bacterial small subunit ribosomal RNA", at positions 524 to 764 of the family's 1533-position model. The record is from RNAcentral.